Molecule: ribosomal RNA, 482 nt
Filed under: fern endophytic bacterium F37
Lineage: Bacteria
Description: bacterial SSU rRNA
Rfam family: Bacterial small subunit ribosomal RNA
Source: RNAcentral
AACGCAUUAAGCACUCCNCNUGGGAAGUACGGUCNCAAGNCUNAAACUCAAAGGAAUUGACGGGGGCCCGCACAAGCGGUGGAGCAUGUGNUUUAAUUCGAAGCAACGCGAAGAACCUUACCAGGUCUUGACAUCCUCUGACAACCCUAGAGAUAGGGCUUUCCCUUCGGGGACANAGUGACAGGUGGUGCAUGGUUGUCGUCAGCUCGUGUCGUNANAUGUUGGGUUAAGUCCCGCAACGAGCGCAACCCUUGAUCUUAGUUGCCAGCAUUCAGUUGGGCACUCUAAGGUGACUGCCGGUGACAAACCGGAGGAAGGUGGGGAUGACGUCAAAUCAUCAUGCCCCUUAUGACCUGGGCUACACACGUGCUACAAUGGACAGAACAAAGGGCUGCGAGACCGCAAGGUUUAGCCAAUCCCACAAAUCUGUUCUACAGUUCGGAUCGCAGUACUGCAACUCGACUGCGUGAAGCUGGAAUCGG